UGGCCUACGGGGCGCAUCAUUAUUUAAUAUUGCUCAAUGGGUGAAACCCUUAAGCAGCAACUCCUCUUUUAUUAUUAAUUUUUUAUUAUUGUAAACUCCUUUUUUAAUAUAAUAUUAUUACGGUAUCUUACGAAUAAGCACCGGCUAACUCCGUGCCAGCAGCCGCGGUAAUACGGAGGGUGCAAGCGUUACUCGGAAUCACUGGGCGUAAAGAGCGCGUAGGCGGGUGGUCAAGUCAUAUUUUAAAUCCUUUAUCUUAACUACAGAACUGCAUUUGAAACUGAUCAUCUAGAGUAUGGGAGAGG
RNAcentral lists this ribosomal RNA (305 nucleotides) under uncultured bacterium. RNAcentral describes it as "bacterial SSU rRNA". It matches the Rfam family "Bacterial small subunit ribosomal RNA", at positions 335 to 657 of the family's 1533-position model. The record is from RNAcentral.